GAACUGAAGAGUUUGAUCCUGGCUCAGAUUGAACGCUGGCGGCAUGCCUUACACAUGCAAGUCGAACGGUAACGCGGGGCAACCUGGCGACGAGUGGCGAACGGGUGAGUAAUGCAUCGGAACGUGCCCAUCAGUGGGGGAUAGCCCGGCGAAAGCCGGAUUAAUACCGCAUACGACCUGAGGGUGAAAGCGGGGGACCGCAAGGCCUCGCGCUGAUGGAGCGGCCGAUGUCGGAUUAGCUAGUUGGUGGGGUAAAGGCUUACCAAGGCAACGAUCCGUAGCUGGUCUGAGAGGACGACCAGCCACACUGGGACUGAGACACGGCCCAGACUCCUACGGGAGGCAGCAGUGGGGAAUUUUGGACAAUGGGCGCAAGCCUGAUCCAGCCAUGC
This 392-nucleotide ribosomal RNA is filed under the name Aquariibacter lacus. Its description in RNAcentral is "bacterial SSU rRNA". It matches the Rfam family "Bacterial small subunit ribosomal RNA", at positions 1 to 397 of the family's 1533-position model. The record is from RNAcentral. Lineage: Bacteria; Pseudomonadati; Pseudomonadota; Betaproteobacteria; Burkholderiales; Sphaerotilaceae.